AUGGCCAGGGGCAGCAGUGGCAGUGACAGUGGUGGAGGCGGAGGUGCGGUCCCAGAGCAGGAGGACUCGGUGCUGUUCUGGCGAGGUACAGGCCAGAGUGAAGAUUCUGACAUUUGGGAUAAUAUGGCAUUGAUAAAAGCUUAUGCUAAAGCUGUGGCUUCAUUUAAGCAUGCUCUAAAGAAUGGUGACAUUUGUGAAACCUCAGAUAAACCAAAAGGCACACCUAGAAGAAAACCUGCUAAGAAGAAUAAAAGCCAAAAAAAGAACACUGCAACACCCUUGAAACAGUGGAACAAUGAAAAUGAAAGUCAAGUUUCAACAGAUGAAAGUGAGAACUCCAGGUUUCCUGGAAAUGAAUCAAAUAACAUCAAGUCAAAAACUACUCCAUGGAACUCUUUUCUCCCUCCGCUUCCCCCCAUGCCAGGAUCAGGACUGGGACUAGGAAAGGCAGGUUUAAAAUUCAAUGGCCCGCCGCCACCACUGCCGCUACUACCACCCCACUGUCAAGCUGGCUGCCUGCAUUUCCUUCUACACCACCAAUUAUUCCCCCACCACCUCGCAUAUGUCCAGAUUCCCUUGAUGAUACUGAUGUUUUGGGAAGUAUGUUAAUCUCUUGGUACAUGAGUGGCUAUCAUACUGGCUAUUAUAUGGGUUUUAGACAAAAUCAAAAAGAAGGACGGUAUUCACAUUCCAGUUAAGGAGAAAUACUGAGGAUAGAGCAACAAGUUAAAUGGCACCACUAAAGAAAUGAUCAGACAGGUCCAGAAUGUGGAAUGCUAUAGAAGAUAAGGGCCUCGUUUCUUCAAAAUAUCAAAGUUGGGAAGGAAAAAAGGUGCGAAUGG
This is an RNA transcript of Nycticebus coucang (slow loris), 842 nucleotides long. It is a transcript of the gene named survival motor neuron protein-like, with no coding region annotated. Lineage: Eukaryota; Metazoa; Chordata; Mammalia; Primates; Lorisidae. The record is from RefSeq and is a predicted model, not a curated record. The transcript has 2 exons.